UUACCACGUGUACAGCCAUCCGGGUUACA
RNAcentral lists this small RNA (29 nucleotides) under Bombyx mori (domestic silkworm). Its description in RNAcentral is "ovarian small RNA-36466". Lineage: Eukaryota; Metazoa; Arthropoda; Insecta; Lepidoptera; Bombycidae. The record is from RNAcentral.